UACAAUUCUGCUCCUCGUAUUC
Molecule: non-coding RNA, 22 nt
Filed under: Arabidopsis thaliana (thale cress)
Lineage: Eukaryota; Viridiplantae; Streptophyta; Magnoliopsida; Brassicales; Brassicaceae
Source: RNAcentral